AAUGUUCUGAAGCAUCACAAAAGGUAAGUGUAUUCCUUUCGUAUGAAAAACGUUGCUUUGACUAUUAACCUUGGGCCAAGUUGGAAAACAUGAAAGUAAAGGGCUGAAUAUGAAGAAGAAUAGCUUUUAUCUUUUAUAUGCAUUUUUUGCAAAUUGAUUAUUGAAGAGGGUUGAGAUGGCAUUCUGAAGUUAUCAUUUUAUAGUUUCCUUCCUCAUUAAGUAGACGCCGAAUAUAGUUGCAAUCGUUGUUUUGAAAUUUCAAGUGAAAGUGAAUGGUGCGUUGCUAUACUUGAAGCUUCUGUUCGUGUACUUCUUCAUUGUUCGGAGACAGUGGACGCUGAUGCAGUCUUCAAGAAAGGUUUCUUUUCAUGGGAAGUGGCUGAGGGAGUCAAAUGUGCUGGUAGUCUCCGAAGGAUUUACGAAGAGAUAAGACAUCAAAAGGAUGUCUUUGGUCCGCACUGUGCCCAAUUUUUAUCCAAUUACGUAUGGAUUUAUUCAGGAUUUGGCCCCUGUAAAACAGGCAUCAAAAGGGAAAUAGACGAAGCUCUAAGACCAGGUAGGUGUAUAUGCAUUAAUAGAUACUUGCUCGCCAGAUGAUCUUCAACGUCUUCAUACCAUAUUUGGAGAGGGUCCUUGCAGAAACACCUUGGCAGCUCUAAAACAUGAUUACGAACUCAAUUUCCAAUACCGGGGAAAAGUCUAACCGAAGCUUCUUCCUAUGGUGGGCUAUACCGGCAUCGUCAUUUGACGUGACUGUACGACUCUUGUAACAUAAACAUCAACUUCCAUUGACAAAGGCCAUUGAAUCUUUGAUGGGACAUCAUCACUGUUGCAAAAGAGAAGCCCCCUCCUCAUACCCGGUUCUGGUUUUCUUGGCGGUGGCCGCGGUGCUUCUUCUUCUGUCAUCUUUGAUCUCCUUCGAUGUUGAAACCCCGAAAUUUGAGAUCAAUUGGGGGCUCAUAGCCACUCCGUUGCUGUUGCUAGCGGUUGUGCAUUGGUUGUCGUCAGAAACUCCCAAGGCGCCAUGUUUUGUGCCUCCACCGUGUUGCAAGUGUAGGCACGCUUGCAAGUGUGGCUAUUACUAAAAUGGUUGUGUUAUUUAUCCACUGUAUCAUUAAACACUGCGUUUCAUGAGAGUUGGUUUGUCUAGUAUGCAUUUUAGGUAAGAGGAUUGAUGUCCUUGGUUUAUUUAUUGUAAGUAAUGAGUUACAGUUGUUAAUACUACGUCAAAUUUGGGUUAAUUAUGGUCGUUGUAACGUUAUUGAAAAUUCGAGUCUUGAUUGUAAAUUUUGAAUGCAUUUUUGUUGUAUUUUACUCUAUCGUUACGUGGUGACUUGGUAGUACAACAGAAUCAAAAUACAAAGUUUCCACUAAGUA
Molecule: long non-coding RNA, 1377 nt
Organism: Pyrus x bretschneideri (Chinese white pear)
Lineage: Eukaryota; Viridiplantae; Streptophyta; Magnoliopsida; Rosales; Rosaceae
Exons: 5
Source: RefSeq, a predicted model, not a curated record